UUAUAAUUGUUAUUAAGUAACGUCCUGCCAAACCCGUCCCGCCAACCCGUCCCGUAAAAAAACCAUUUAUUUUAUUAAUAUUGAUCUUAUUUAUGAUAUGUUUAUGAAUUAUUGUCUAAAUAUUUUGUAAUUUUGUAGUAAUUAAAUGCUAUCAAAUAUCUCUAUGGUUUGAUGAUAUUAAAUAUUUUGGAAGUUUUAUUUUAGUAACUAAUGGUGUAGUUAAUGUUGAGUGAUUUAAGAAAGAUUGUUAAAUGUCAAAUAUUUAAUUCGAAGUUUUUAUUCUAAUUAUCAAAAACAAACAUUAAAAUCUAGUGGCAACCAUUGUAACUAAGUCCCAACUACACGAUUUAUUUCACAAAAUGGCUGCAAAAAUGUAUAUAUAGAUAUAUAAUUUUUAAAAC
This 401-nucleotide small RNA is filed under the name Arabidopsis thaliana (thale cress). RNAcentral describes it as "ATSL252640". Lineage: Eukaryota; Viridiplantae; Streptophyta; Magnoliopsida; Brassicales; Brassicaceae. The record is from RNAcentral.